CAGCCGCCGCGGUAAUACCGGCGGCCCGAGUGGCGGCCACUAUUAUUGGGCUUAAAGCGUCCGUAGCCGGGUUGGUUAGUCUCCCGGGAAAUCUGGCCGCUUAACGGUCAGAAUUCCGGGAGAUACUGCCAGCCUAGGGACCGGGAGAGGCCGAGGGUAUUCCCGGAGUAGGGGUGAAAUCCUAUAAUCCCGGGAGGACCACCUGUGGCGAAGGCGCUCGGCUGGAACGGGUCCGACGGUGAGGGACGAAGGCCAGGGGAGCAAACCGGAUUAGAUACCCGGGUAGUCCUGGCGGUAAACGAUGCGGACUAGGUGUCGGGCAAGCUAAGGGCUUGUCCGGUGCCGCAGGGAAGCCGUUAAGUCCGCCGCCUGGGGAGUACGGCCGCAAGGCUGAAACUUAAAGGAAUUGGCGGG
RNAcentral lists this ribosomal RNA (414 nucleotides) under uncultured microorganism. RNAcentral describes it as "bacterial SSU rRNA". It matches the Rfam family "Archaeal small subunit ribosomal RNA", at positions 459 to 872 of the family's 1478-position model. The record is from RNAcentral.